AUUGAUGGAAAAAACUCAAACGUCUCUCUUCUCUUCCCAUUAUCGAUCGCCAUAUCUAACGCUCUGUUGGAGCAUUCCUGCCGCCGCCUCCUCCACUUGUGCUGGCCACUGCAUAACACAGGAAGGCUUGUUUAACCUUGCCCUGCAUUUAAGUGAAGUCGGUGCAUUCUUCUUGAUAUCAAAGUUGUGGGCUGAUAUGAAGUUGGGCAUGCUUAAAGGCUGAAGAUCGUCACUUCAGUCUUCCUUGUAUCUGUGGUUUUAUAAAGAGUUAUGCUUGAACAUAUACAAUUCGUGGCUAUCAACUCUCCUUACGGCUCAAUGCGCAGCUACCUAAGUGAAGAAUUGAUAUGAACAAACAAAGGGGUAUUUGGAGAUAUGUGUUUUGGCUGGAAUUUUUUUUGUUUUUAAGUUUCUAUUUAUUUACUGAAGAACAUAAAACAGAGACAGAAACAAGACGAGGCGGUUGGAGUAGGGGUGGAAACGGGAGAAGCAGAAAUUGGUUUAUACAGUUGGCCUCUUGAGUUAGGAUUUAUUUGUAACUGAUAGUUUUUAGCUUUUUGGUUUAUGCAGUCGAAGCAUUUGAUCAAGUGUUUUUGUUGCAUAUGUAGGAUUUAUUUGUAACUGAUUGUUUUCUUACCUUUUUUUCAUGAAAUAUUGCUUCUUGAUUUGUAGUUA
Long non-coding RNA from Coffea arabica (coffee), 675 nucleotides. RefSeq lists it as uncharacterized. The record is from RefSeq and is a predicted model, not a curated record. Lineage: Eukaryota; Viridiplantae; Streptophyta; Magnoliopsida; Gentianales; Rubiaceae.